AUUAUAUAAAAUAUAUUAGAAUAAUAUAAAUAAUGUAUUAGUAUAAUAAAUACAUUUCAAAAUAAAAAUGUCUUAAAGUGAAAUGUGUUUGAUAAGUGUAGUUUUGAUAAAAUAAUCGAUACAAAACAAUUUGAUUUCUUAAAAAAUAUUUUGUGGUUUUACUAGACAAAUAUUAAAAAUAAUAUAAAAUAUAAAAUUGGUUUUGAUUUUUGAGUUUUAGAGAUAUAAGAUUUGUUCGGGUAAUUGGUAGGAUCCAG
Molecule: long non-coding RNA, 257 nt
Filed under: Brassica rapa (field mustard)
Lineage: Eukaryota; Viridiplantae; Streptophyta; Magnoliopsida; Brassicales; Brassicaceae
Description: long non-coding RNA (BRAP_LNC006171)
Source: RNAcentral